This 99-nucleotide non-coding RNA is filed under the name Megasphaera sp. UPII 135-E. RNAcentral describes it as "SAM riboswitch aptamer (S box leader)". It matches the Rfam family "SAM riboswitch aptamer (S box leader)". Rfam says of the family: The SAM riboswitch is found upstream of a number of genes which code for proteins involved in methionine or cysteine biosynthesis in Gram-positive bacteria. The SAM riboswitch acts at the level of transcription termination control. Lineage: Bacteria; Bacillati; Bacillota; Negativicutes; Veillonellales; Veillonellaceae. The record is from Rfam by way of RNAcentral. RNAcentral also lists the same sequence under 1 other name.
AAUUCAUCGCGAGCAACCGAGGGACUGGCCUUAUGACGUUGCGGCAACCCCCAGUUUGGGAAGGUGCCAAAUCCAACGGAACAUUCCGGCAGAUGAUGU